UGCUGGCUCCUCCUUGGGGAGGGGUAUGUGCACGCUUGCCAUCUUUAUCUCUCCAACUGUGCACAUAUUGUAGGCCUGGAGGUUGUGUUUUUAUUUGCUCAAAUAGAUUGAGGACUGCUGUUGCUUUCCUUGUAUAAUUUCCAGGUCUAUGUUAUCCUCACAUACAAUCUCAAUGUGUUUUAGAAUGUUGAAUUGGGUCUUUUGUACCUAUAAAAGUUAUAAAUACAACUUUCAGCAACGGAUCUCUUGGCUCUCGCAUCGAUGAAGAACGCAGCGAAAUGCGAUAAGUAAUGUGAAUUGCAGAAUUCAGUGAAUCAUCGAAUCUUUGAACGCACCUUGCGCUCCUUGGUAUUCCGAGGAGCAUGCCUGUUUGAGUGUCAUUAAGUUCUCAACCACACCAUUUCUAUGGUUUGGCUUGGAUAUGGGGUUUGCAGGCUUUUUGAAAAUGAAGUCUGCUUUCCUGAAAUUUAUUAGUGGUAUCUGAGCAGAAAACUACCACAGGUGUGAUAAUUAUCUAUGCCUUGGUAUGCUGCAUGAAACAGAUUACACUGCUUCUAACAAAGUUGAAGCCCCCUGGGCAUGAACAUUUUGACAAAUUUGACCUCAAAUCAGGUAGGACUACCCGCUGAACUUAAGCAUAUCAAUAAGCNGAGGANGGGCGG
This 662-nucleotide ribosomal RNA is filed under the name uncultured Inocybe. RNAcentral describes it as "eukaryotic LSU rRNA". The stretch from base 227 to 380 matches the Rfam family "5.8S ribosomal RNA". The record is from RNAcentral. Lineage: Eukaryota; Fungi; Basidiomycota; Agaricomycetes; Agaricales; Cortinariaceae.